UCUUUGGUUAUCUAGCUGUAUGA
RNAcentral lists this microRNA (23 nucleotides) under Ascaris suum (pig roundworm). RNAcentral describes it as "asu-miR-9-5p". Its record names the gene asu-miR-9-5p. RNAcentral also lists the same sequence under 125 other names. The record is from miRBase by way of RNAcentral. Lineage: Eukaryota; Metazoa; Nematoda; Chromadorea; Rhabditida; Ascarididae.